Long non-coding RNA from Carassius gibelio (silver crucian carp), 840 nucleotides. RefSeq lists it as uncharacterized. NCBI's taxonomy places the organism in Eukaryota, Metazoa, Chordata, Actinopteri, Cypriniformes, Cyprinidae. The transcript has 3 exons. The record is from RefSeq and is a predicted model, not a curated record.
GGGAGAGUGUAACCGGGGCAGGUAUAGCCGAUGUUUAAUUCCCCUGGUGCUUUUUCCCUUGAAGUUUUUGCUAUGAUGCAGUUAUGCGUGCUGUCUCCUUUAAGAGUUUGAUCAUAUGCACGAGAGCGUGUGUGCGUCAGAAAGGAACAGAGAGCGCGCUGAUAGAAGCAGCAGUUACAAGGGAGGAGAAAAUAGUUGAUUAGAAACUGCAAAACGGAUAUAAUCCAGGUUAAUUCUCAACUUGUGGACCUGUGGUGGUUUCAGUUGUGUGUCUGCAUGAGUAGAUGACAAUUCAGUGUUUGUAUUAGUGUUUGUUGCUGCAUAUGAGAAAUCUCCGGUGGGGGAGGGGAUUCAGGCCUACUUCAACGGAGAUUGAGCAGGGGAGAGCAAGAUUGUGAGAUCGCACGUGCCAGUUUCCACGUGAUUGGUAAUCCAAAGUCUCAUAUAACAGCACAUAUAAGCCACUGCCGUUGUUUUAUACACCUUUAUUUGGUUCUUUAACAUAGAUUGCACUCUUUCAAGUCAAAUUGGGACUUGUGAUCUGGUGUUUUGAUUAGAGAUUAUUACUGUAAAGGACUUAUUUUUGUUAUUUGUUUUUCUUAUGUUAUUUCACAUUCUGUGCCCAUUGAAGGGAACCGAGUCACAUCAUUUGUUUUGUUUUAUUAUUCUGUUUUAUACGACUUUUCUUGUUUAAUUGGAUCUAAGUCCUGAGAAAAAACUAUUUUUCCCUGAACCAAACAUUUAAUGCUGGGUCUUCUUUUGAGGCUCAGUCAAGAAUAAAAGAAUCCUUUUUUAGUAGAUGUUUUGGCAUUGUCUCUUCCUUUUAUAUAUUAGAAGGAC